RNAcentral lists this ribosomal RNA (496 nucleotides) under uncultured bacterium. Its description in RNAcentral is "partial 16S ribosomal RNA". It matches the Rfam family "Bacterial small subunit ribosomal RNA", at positions 29 to 507 of the family's 1533-position model. The record is from RNAcentral.
AUGAACGCUGGCGGCGUGCCUAAUACAUGCAAGUCGAGCGAACAGACGAGGAGCUUGCUCCUCUGACGUUAGCGGCGGACGGGUGAGUAACACGUGGAUAACCUACCUAUAAGACUGGGAUAACUUCGGGAAACCGGAGCUAAUACCGGAUAAUAUAUUGAACCGCAUGGUUCAAUAGUGAAAGACGGUUUUGCUGUCACUUAUAGAUGGAUCCGCGCCGCAUUAGCUAGUUGGUAAGGUAACGGCUUACCAAGGCAACGAUGCGUAGCCGACCUGAGAGGGUGAUCGGCCACACUGGAACUGAGACACGGUCCAGACUCCUACGGGAGGCAGCAGUAGGGAAUCUUCCGCAAUGGGCGAAAGCUUGACGGAGCAACGCCGCGUGAGUGAUGAAGGUCUUCGGAUCGUAAAACUCUGUCAUUAGGGAAGAACAAAUGUGUAAGUAACUAUGCACGUCUUGACGGUACCUAAUCAGAAAGCCACGGCUAACUACGUG